RNAcentral lists this ribosomal RNA (216 nucleotides) under Glomeromycotina sp. Its description in RNAcentral is "partial small subunit ribosomal RNA". The stretch from base 46 to 216 matches the Rfam family "Eukaryotic small subunit ribosomal RNA", at positions 692 to 864 of the family's 1831-position model. Lineage: Eukaryota; Fungi; Glomeromycota. The record is from RNAcentral.
GGGUCAGUAGGUUGGUCGUGCCACCGGUACGUACUGGUCUCACCGAUUCCUCCUUCCUGAAGAACCGUAAUGCCAUUAAUUUGGUGUUGUGGGGAAACAGGACUGUUACUUUGAAAAAAUUAGAGUGUUUAAAGCAAGCUAACGCUUGAAUACAUUAGCAUGGAAUAAUGAAAUAGGACGAUCGAUCCUAUUUUGUUGGUUUCUAGGAUUGACGUA